Molecule: long non-coding RNA, 1468 nt
Filed under: Mustela putorius furo (domestic ferret)
Lineage: Eukaryota; Metazoa; Chordata; Mammalia; Carnivora; Mustelidae
Description: lncRNA (ENSMPUG00000026961.1)
Source: RNAcentral
UACGAAAGGAAGAAGACAGACAUGCCCGAGGGAGGAGAACAUCUAAAUAAACGAUUACGACCAUGAAGUGAUGGUUCUAAGGGUGACAGGUGCUGUGAAAACACUGAUCCAAAGAGGCAUCUUGGACCCGACCAUGCGUCCAGUUGGCAGGGACCAUCUCCUCCCCCACGGCAGUGUCCUGGUGCCAGCUGGCUGCGGUGCUGGUGAUAGAGAAGGCCCCUAUUUGGCUUCAUUUCAGGCAAGUUGAAUGAACAUCAUUAGAGCAAUGUAAAAGGGGUGAUGGGAAACUUGGAUGAAAUCAUAGAAAGAGCGCUGAUCACAUUUGCAUUGGACUCAACGCUGGGAGAGAGCGCUUAGAUGCUGGGUGACAUAAUCAGGAUUCUAAAAGAUCCUGUCAGGCUGCAGCGGUGAACCGACAUUAACUGGGUCAAAUGCAAUAGGGAAAAAUCACGGUCCUGCAUCUAGAUUAUAAAGCGAAUCAAGUUUUGCAAACAGAAUGACAAGGACAGAAUCUAAGAUGGCAAAGACGGAAGACUUGGCUCUAAUGAACUAUGAAACAGAUGCAUGCCCAAAGCACUAUAAACAAGAUAAAAAGGCAAACAGUAAACUGGGAAAAAUAAUGGCAGCCUAGAUGAUAGGAGACUGGGCUGAUGGGCUUAAGAGGUCUUUCAAGUCAAUACAGAAAAGAAAAAUGAAGCCCGAAUGUACACAAGCAGUUCAGAAACCAAGAAGUCAAAAUGGUCAAACGCCCACUCUGAAGAUGGUGUCGGUUCAACUCAAAUCAGCUGCUACACAUGAGGAGAUAAAAUAUGUUGGAAGACAACUACCAUUUACCCAGAGUGGAAUUUUGAGGAGUAAGGAGCCACCAUGAUAAUACUAAGAUUGAGAGUUUCUGAGCAUGGAUGCUGUGUCUCAAUCCUCACAAUGACCUGUAUCAUGAAAGGAGUUAGCUCACUUGAUUGGUAUGUGGCAGUUUGCUUUCCAGACUCCUCUGACUAUUCUGGGUCUCAGAUUUCCCAUCAUUUUAUCCACCUGCCUGCUCUGAGACUAAUAUGAAUUUAUUUGGCCAGCUGCAUAAUGAGUGCCAAAAAUAUUCACAUUCUAACCCCAGGACCUGGGAAUGUUACUUAUACAGCAGAAACACUUUGCAGAUAUCCUGGGGUUAAAGAUCCAGAAAUGGGGACAUUAACAUGGAUUAUCGGAGCUGGCCCUACAUGUGAUUGUAAGCAUCCUUCUCAGUGGGAGGCAGAGGGGUACUUAACAGAGGAGGACAAGGUGAGGUGACAGCAGGAGCAGAGACUGGAAUGAUGUGCUUUGUAUGUGAGGAAGGGGCCGCAAGUUGAGAAGCCCCAGCAACCACCAUGAGCUGAAAAGUCAAGGAAGCCAGUUCUCUCCUCAAAGCCUUCAGAAGAAACCAGCCCUCCCAUAUUUUAACUUCAGCCCGUGAAACCGAUCACAGAGCCCCGGC